Molecule: ribosomal RNA, 383 nt
Filed under: uncultured bacterium
Lineage: Bacteria
Description: bacterial SSU rRNA
Rfam family: Bacterial small subunit ribosomal RNA
Source: RNAcentral
AUUGAACGCUGGCGGCAUGCCUUACACAUGCAAGUCGAACGGCAGCGCGGGGCAACCUGGCGGCGAGUGGCGAACGGGUGAGUAACAUAUCGGAACAUACCCUAGAGUGGGGGAUAACGUAGCGAAAGUUACGCUAAUACCGCAUACGCACUAAGGUGGAAAGUGGGGGAUCUUCGGACCUCAUGCUCAUGGAGUGGCCGAUAUCUGAUUAGCUAGUUGGUGAGGUAAAGGCUCACCAAGGCGACGAUCAGUAGCUGGUUUGAGAGAACGACCAGCCACACUGGAACUGAGACACGGUCCAGACUCCUACGGAGGCAGCAGUGGGGAAUUUUGGACAAUGGGGGCAACCCUGAUCCAGCAAUGCCGCGUGAGUGAAGAAGGCC